AAUACGACUCUCGGCAACGGAUAUCUCGGCUCUCGCCACGAUGAAGAAUGUAGCGAAAUGCGAUACUUAGUGUGAAUUGCAGAAUCCCGUGAAUCAUCGAGUCUUUGAACGCAAGUUGCGCCCGAGGCCUCGGCCGAGGGCACGCCUGCUUGGGCGUCGCACU
This 163-nucleotide ribosomal RNA is filed under the name Torreya grandis. RNAcentral's name for it is "5.8S ribosomal RNA". It matches the Rfam family "5.8S ribosomal RNA". Rfam says of the family: 5.8S ribosomal RNA (5.8S rRNA) is a component of the large subunit of the eukaryotic ribosome. It is transcribed by RNA polymerase I as part of the 45S precursor that also contains 18S and 28S rRNA. RNAcentral also lists the same sequence under 2 other names. The record is from RNAcentral. Lineage: Eukaryota; Viridiplantae; Streptophyta; Pinopsida; Cupressales; Taxaceae.